AAAGACAACCAUCUUUGGACUCUCAGCCUAAAAAACCUCAGGUACAAUUCCCAAAUAUUUACCGUACGUCUUCACUUUACCGGCCACGUGCUGCUUUCACACAAUAUGGAACCAGUCCGGUAGGAAUUUUCAAGAAUCAUUUAUCACGCGAGAAAUUAAAUACGUAACUGUUGGUGACAUUGCAAUUCAAAUGCAAGUGCUUUCCUGUCUGUGCGUAAGCAAGAAAAAUACGAAAUAAGAAAAUUCGAAGUGCGUCAGUAUAGUUUGAAUUUAAGAAGAACAUUGUUUUGGCAUCAGAAAGGAUAUCGUGUGCCGAGGUCACCGUGCUGGGACAGAAGUGGGAAUGGUGGCAACUUUAAUGAUAUAUGGUUCAGCUGAGGCGUAAGCAGACGCUGUAACCUGCUGGCGACUGUAAACAAAGCGAACAGAAAGGCUGACCACGGCCUCAGGUGUACGUGCGCCAGGCUCGAAAAGAGAAGUGCGGGAAUUUUCCCGUCGGUUCCCCGAAGGCCGCGUGUGGGAGGUCAGGCGUUGGUCCAGGGUCGCAGUGGGAAGUCCGCGCGGGCCACAGGCUGCCUUCCGCCCCGAGCCGCUUCCUCAACAGCUGAAAGUCCGUGUUCCGUCCAGCGUCUGUGUGGAAUGUGACUGGAGUACAAUGGCCUUACGUGAUGCGAAGAGCUGGAUUCUUAGCUGCUUUCCAUCGAAGUAAAGUUUCUCCCAGUCCAGGCCGUAAAUCAUUACGAGAUGCCUCGCCCCCUCUCCGAGGGGCUUCUCUCCCUUCAAGUCCGCCUGACUGGCAUUUUCUGUCCUCAUUUUCUAGCCGAUCGUCCUUUAGAUUCAUGUAGAAGUCAUUUUGCACGUUAUCAGUUUUCGUACACGAGCCACGACGUUGCAUGUGAUAAGGGCACUAGACUGUACCUCUUCUGCCCUCGCAAAUCCUUAUUUCCUUGCCAGUCAUGCGCGUGAAAUGAAAUUCGGGCACAAGGUCUCCAUAGUGCGAGUCCUUGUAAAAAUAUUAUUCGACACAUGCCCCGUGCCGUUUAGCUAUCGAGAGGCACAAAGUAUUAAUGAGCGUGGCGUUCUUUAGAAUCGAUCGUUGCCACCCUGAGGCCUUGCCGCGAGAUCUUCGGUGGUCCUCGGAGGGACUGCGUAAUCACACGAAGAAAUCCAUUGAGAGUUCCGUCGUGCUGAAGCCUCACGGCUUGAGGCAGCCCCGGGCGAAAGGUUUACAGGAAAUCUCGAGAUCGUUGAGCAGUCACCCUGACAGCAAUCAGGGGCCCAGAGUUGGCCGUUGUGAGGAUCUCUGUUCCAGAAUAAGUGGAGACUGGGCCUUGUCUUGGUCGGUUUUAUGGAAGGCCGAGAGUAAGCACAGCUUCAGACAAAUAAUGUUGACAGUCUACGGAUAAAGUCGUCAAUGUCAGUUCGUGGCGUGAAAUAUCGGCAGUGGUUUUUCAGGACCGAUUGCAUUUCACAGUUGAACGAGUGGCCUAUCAGAGUAGCCCCGAGCACAAGGUAAAGACUGACGUCAUUGUUCACAGUCCUUAAGACGCUGAUAGUCUCUCAGCUAGUCAAUAAAUUUCCUCACGCGCUACUCCUUUAAGACCAUUUUAAUAUCAUCCUCCCGUGCGUGCUACACGCUUCGCCCAUUUCGUCCUGUUAAUGUCAUGGAGCUCCAUCGUCUGCGAUAUUCUCCCAAGCACCACCGUUUUCUUGGACGUGGUUAAACCCCUUAAAUACGAGACCGGAAGACAAGGGCAUUCUGUCAAAGCAGCGCCUUCUCGACUUAGAGUUUGCGUGUUGCAUCCCGAAGAGGGCUUGCUGGAAACCCUGACCACCGUCACACUUUCUCCCGCUCAUGUAACCGACUGUCACGUGGAUUACGCUGUUUUAAUGUUUUCCGCGUCAGCCGACCGCCCUCUCGUUCCGGCACGCACUUGGCUCUGGAUUUGGGCUGCAGACACGAGACUGCCCCUCUGGUGGAAAUGUAAUUUACCUUAGAUUUGCUUUCAAAUAUCACUUCAGUUAAACUGAUUAAUUAAAUUAGUUAAUUUCUUUCAAGUGUUCUGCAAGCUUCUGUGCCUCAGGGGCAGACGAAAACUGACGUCCAUUUGCAGAGAAUGAAAGUUUAAUGGCUUCUGUUGUCAAGUCUCUCUCUCUCUCUCUCUCUCUUUUGUGCAAACGAAGGGAUACUUGUCCAUGUUCUGGGAUCACUCCCCGCUCGACGUGUUCGCCUUCUUUUGUCAUAAAUUAGGUAAAAGUUUUAUUGCGUGUUAUUUGUUACAAGGAAAGAAUAUGACGUUCCAGGAAUUAAAACGAGAAGCUGAGAAUAGGGAAAACUGGAGAGCUCUUUUUGGGCAGAGCAAUGGACCUGUCGUAAUACAGAACACUGAAUAAUAAUAAUAAUUUGUUGCUGCAUUUUCGAAACAUUUUGGUUCGCAGAUGUCAGUAAAACCUAACGCAUUGAAGUCUUCGUGAAAAUACUGAGAAUCUAGAGGAGUGACACUUUUCAUAACAUUUUUCUUU
Zootermopsis nevadensis is the source of this 2523-nucleotide non-coding RNA. NCBI's taxonomy places the organism in Eukaryota, Metazoa, Arthropoda, Insecta, Blattodea, Termopsidae. The record is from RefSeq and is a predicted model, not a curated record.